GACGAGGGGGGCUAGCGUUGUUCGGAAUUACUGGGCGUAAAGCGCGUGUAGGCGGUUGUUCAAGUCAGGUGUGAAAGCCUUGAGCUCAACUCAAGAAAUGCACUUGAUACUGGAUGACUAGAGGACCGGAGAGGAUAGUGGAAUUCCCAGUGUAGUGGUGAAAUACGUAGAGAUUGGGAAGAACACCAGUGGCGAAGGCGGCUAUCUGGACGGUUUCUGACGCUAAGACGCGAAAGCGUGGGGAGCAAACAGG
RNAcentral lists this ribosomal RNA (253 nucleotides) under uncultured bacterium. RNAcentral describes it as "partial 16S ribosomal RNA". It matches the Rfam family "Bacterial small subunit ribosomal RNA", at positions 524 to 776 of the family's 1533-position model. The record is from RNAcentral.